UACGUAGGGUCCAAGCGUUAUCCGGAAUCACUGGGCGUAAAGCGUGCGUAGGUGGCGUGUUAAGUGUGAUGUUAAAUCGUGGGGCUCAACCCUGUCGGUGCAUCACAUACUGGCAUGCUAGAGGACAGCAGAGGCAAGUGGAAUUUGUAGUGUAGCAGUGAAAUGCGUAGAUAUUACAAGGAACACCCGUGGCGAAGGCGGCCCACUGGGCCGGUGCUGACGCUGAGGCGCGAAGGCGUGGGGAGCGAACAGG
RNAcentral lists this ribosomal RNA (253 nucleotides) under uncultured bacterium. RNAcentral's name for it is "partial 16S ribosomal RNA". It matches the Rfam family "Bacterial small subunit ribosomal RNA", at positions 524 to 776 of the family's 1533-position model. The record is from RNAcentral.